UUUUCCUCACAAUCAAAAUAU
This 21-nucleotide non-coding RNA is filed under the name Caenorhabditis elegans. Lineage: Eukaryota; Metazoa; Nematoda; Chromadorea; Rhabditida; Rhabditidae. The record is from RNAcentral.